UUGUGCCGUGCAUUGCACUGAAGUUGACCCACCACAAUGAUAGCAAAUGUCGUAUGCUGCUGAGGUGCUUUCCUCUAUGAGAUGUUUGUUUGUUUGCAGGACAUGCUUCCCUGUACCUAAUAAUAGUGUAAGUGUAGACUAUUUAUAUAAUGUCUGUGUCCUACGAAUGUCUACUCUUUUUAACAAAAACAAUGUUUCCUCUGCUCAAUGAUCAUCAGAUUUUCCAAUGCAUACUCUAUCUGGCUCUGAGAAUGAGUUCAACCAAGAUGAGCUACCAUUUGCACUGGUAAUGGUGAUUCUCCAAAACUGUCUUUUUAUAUGCUGUAUUUAGAAAUAGAGUUUAAGAUAUUCCGCAUAUAUGUAAACAUAGAAUUCUCACUUCUACUAAUUGUGGUUAUUCUAGAACCUGAGACGACAAAGGAUGACAUUCUUACAACAUAUGUCUUAAUAUUAAUGAUUUAGAUAUCGUGAAGGAGAAGGAGGUGCCGAAAGGGGAUGGGAGCAACAAGUUUGAUUCGAAAGAGGUAUACCCAUCUGACUGCAGACUGCUCUUAAUACAUUCUUCCCUUGGCCAUGCUGUAAUGUUUACGUCUUUCCACUUAUCAAAUUUUAGUUCAAUUUGAAGUGAUCAUAUUGGAAUACAUUUUCCAGUCCUUCGAGUUGUUGCAUGAAUAAAUGACAACGUAUUAGCAUCACAACCGAAGAAUAACAGAAAUCGUCUUAUCAAAAGAUGGUGCACUGGGACUAAUAACUAACCAUAGCAGUGAGGUCUUUGCGGUUCAUUCCUGGGCCUAGCGAGUCGAGCACCUGGAUACGUCGCACCCCGCUAUUUAUAACUCCUAGGUACCAAUGAAAGUCUUUAAUGUUUACUGGAACAUAUAUCUGUAAAUAGAGUUUUUGUUAGUUUAGGUCCCAUCUGUAGAAACAUUCAUCCAUGAUUGAAUUCAUAGUAAUAUGUAAAGAACCGAGACUCACCAUAUCAUGUUCCAAAUAAGUUUUAGCUCUGUCUAACACCCAUCUUAGUGUGUCAUCCCGUAUAAACUUAAAUUCCUUUAUCAGCUUAGAGAUGCAUGCAUUCUCUAAGAACACACUUCCACCCGUCCUCAUCUUUAGAUGCUCUUUAGCACUUAUGCAAUGUAUGUAUGCGUCUAUGAUCUGUAAUAUGAAGUGCACACCUUGGUCAUAGGACAAAAUAGUAACUCAUGUUCAAAUAGCAUCGUCUCGUCAUAAAGCUACAUAUACUUACUUCUCGCCAAGAAAUUCUCCAGGGAAUAAAAGACGUUCCAACUGUCUUCUUUGGAGAUUUGAGUCGUCAAUGCUCACUAAAGUUCUUUUAUCAUUUGGUUCAGACAUGAUAUUUUCAAUCACGGACCAAUCAUCGCCGGUGUAGGCGUAAUCUAUCAUGAUGGAAGUAAUAACGUUUAUUAAUAACGAGGAAAACAAAUGUAGCAAAACCAGGGCAUAGAAAGAUUUGUCUGUGCCUUCUGGAGCCACCACGUAGUCUUGUGCCUUCUUAGGUUUGUUAUGCAGUCGGAUAGGCUUCCAUGUUUGCCCGGGCAUUGGCAGCUUGUCCCCUAUAAUUUCUGCCCCUUCCCUGCCGGACGUUUGUUCUAAUUCUUCGUCCCCACAUGCCUCCAUUUUUUUACUUGUUUCGUUGUUUGUUAAUUCCUGAGAGCAACAUAUUAAAGAAUCAUCUGUAUGCAAGAUAUAAUAGAAUUAGAAUUAGAACUAUUUGGGACAUAGUUGGAAUUGAAAAGAUACCUCUGUCACUUCGGAGAGUCCAGAAUCAGUGGACUGCGUGCUCUUAUUUUCCUCCAAUUCAUCUUUGCCGGCUAUUGCAUUUGAAUCUGCCAGAUUAUCCCCUAUAGUUUCUGCCCCUUCGGUGCCCCAUGUCUGUUCUAAUUCCUCGUCCUGAACUUGAUGCAUUUGUUCACUUGUUUCCUUGAAGGUUAUUUCCUCAGAAAAGUUGACUUUCGCAUUAGAACUAUUUAUUUAGCAGAUAGUUGAAAAAGAAAAGAUGACUUUGCCACCUCGGAAUGAGUGGACUGUGUGCUCUUCUUUUUCUCCUCUUCAUCUUUGUCGGCUCGUACAUUUGAAUCUGCCAAGUUGUCCCCUAUAGUUUCCUCCCUUCGGUGUCGAACAUUUGUGCUAAUUCAAUGUCUUGAGUAGGCUGCAUUUGUUCACUUGUUCUCUGCCUUGUUAAUUCCUGAGAGCAACAUUACAAAGAGUAAUCCCUAUGCAGAAUAUAAUUUAAUUAGAUUAUAACUAUUUGGGAUACUUUGAAAAGAAAGCAUGCAUGUGUCACUUCGCAAUCAGUGGCCCGCGUGCUAUUCUUUUUUUCUACUUCAUCUUUGUCAUUUAUUCCACUUGAUUCUUCCUUGAUUAGUAAAUGAAAGACACAAUAAUAUAAUAUUAUACAGUAUGUAGUCCAUAUAAAAGAGAGAAUAUUAUGAAGGUGAGUAAACAGUUUUAUAUUUGAUAUCAUAGCACAAAUUACAUAUUGUUUUGUCCCGCCAGAAUAACAAUAAUAAUGACAUGUGAAAAUAUAAUAAUGACCUCAGUAAUAUGUAUGUUUUCUAUAUCAUCCAUGAUGGCUUGUUGUUCUAUUGUCUUUGAUGACUCGGGGUUCACAUCCUCGUCUUUCGUUAUCAUGCCUUCAGUCUGCAUAUUUUCCGCAUGCUUGUCCUUGCCUUCCUCGUCCAUGUUUUCCUGAAAACCAAAGCAUAUAUUAGUAUUAGUUUCUCGUCCAUGCUUUGUUUAGAAAUGAAUCGUCCGUGCUCACUAAACGUCUUUGUUUGCUUGGUUCGGUUUUGAUAUUUUCUACCACGGACCAACCAUUGCCAGUGCAGGAAUAAUCUGUCACAAUGCCCAUAAUAACAUUUAAUAAAAUAAAAACAAUAAAAUUUAGCAAUAGGACAUUGAAGGUUUUGUUCUGUGCCUUGGGGAUAAACCACAUAGUCUUGUGCCUUAUUAGGCUUGUUAUGCUGUCUAAUAUGUUUCUUUAUCUGCAUAGGCAUUGUUAUCUCGUCCUCUAUAAUUAUUUUUUCUAUGAUUUUAACCUAACACGACAUUUUAAAUAAUAGAAACAUCUGUACCAGCUGAAAUAUAUGGAUCUUCUAUAAUGGUAUCAUACAGUAUUUUCGAAGACAAGGAUUUGUAUUAAACAUGCUGUCAUUUGGCACCAAUUUUGCAGUGCAUAAAGCCAUUGGUAAGAAUCCUAAUGUGCAGUGUCUACUAAUAUAUAAAAAAAGGUUUAAUAUUGUACACUCCAUACUAAUUGGAAAGGGAAAUACUCCAUACUUUUUUGAAAAUAUAUACACUGUACUCUCUAAAAAAUGGCGUCACAUCCGUUUUAUGGCCAUACUACGUCUCUUUUUUCGUAUAUUAUGUGCCACUGUUUGAAUAUACUCUUUUUUGGAUGAAUAUACUACUCACUUGGAUCCAAAGAAAAAAGGUUAUAUGAUUUUUUGGAACUAAUAAAAUUCUAUACUCCAGUUUCAAAAGGAAAUACACAUAUACUCCAUACUAAAUUUUAUAAUAUACUCCAUACAGUACAAAUAAGAGCACUAUGUACUCUUCCUUACCUGUGUACUUGAGACGGUGCGGCCACCAGGGCGAGGACGGUGUGGACACUGGAGCUAGGGCAGCGCACGGGGAUGGGACGAGGUGUCCUCGUGAAGCCGCCACCGGUGCGACGACGACGUGGACAGCAGAUUUAGGGCAGCUCGCCGGGAGGGGCCGAGGUUUCCUCGAGACAGCACGGGCAGCGGGGGAAAGGACCAGGAGAGUGGAAGAGAGGUGGAGGAGAGAUGAGGGAAGAGGGAAGGUCCAUGAGGGGAUCAGGGAAUGAGAUCGUGGACUGCCGCGUCGUGGGAAGGAGAUCGUGGACUGCGGGAUUCUAGGGAGGGAGAUCCGAAAUUGUUGGGAUCGUGGACCUUUAUCUUUUUUUAUACCCCAUGCUUUUCCUUUUUCUUUUUUAUUAUACCCCACACAUAUAGAAUUCAUGGAAUUUUUUCGUAAUACAUUUUAACAUACUAAUAUUUGUUUCGGCUCAUCGGAUAAUUUUAUGGAAUUUUUAUGUGCUCAUUGUUAUACAUUUUUAUAUAGAAAAAAAUUAUCUUUUUCUGUACCGUAAUAUAAUUCUUGUAUCAUUUUGUCUUGGCAGAUAGUUAAUGGACAUGAGUUUUCAGGGAAGUAAUUUCGGUUGUUCGAGCAAAACGGAAACCAUCAAGGUGAGUUUCGUUGCUAUGUAUUAUUAUUGUUGUUGCUGAUCGUGCCUAAAAUCGGUGCUACAGCUGCAUCAAAGUAAGUGUUGCCAUGUAAAAAAUUUGAGAAGAGAAUCAUAAUAUAUAGUAGCGAAUACAUCUUCAGCAUGUACCUAGAUAACAAGAUUGGAGUAUUUCACAUCAACUAAUGGUAGUACUACCACAAUUAGGUCCUGAAACAAUACACUACACGAAAAUAGCAAAAGCCUGUAAGUAUGAUAGAUACAUCAUACCCAAAUUGGAGCCUGAUCAUCAUAACAGGAAAAUAUGAUGGCCCAAAAUCGUAGCCGAAAUCAGUUACACUAAAACGAGCGCAAUCGCUUGAUCAUCACAGCAGGAAAAUGCGAUGGCCCAAAUAUAGAUAAUGAGCGAGUGAAUAGCAAAAGACAAUAAUUAUGAUAGAUACAUCAUCUUAUUAAGACCACAACAUAUUAACUUUGUGAGCCCCGUCUUCAUGUGAUGUGUUGUUUCUUUCUCCUCUUUCUCACUUAAUAUGCACCUCGACACUCAAUCUGUCGUGUGCCUCUUCCAGUAUUUUGGGACGGAGGGAGUACCUUUGCAAAAUAUAAAUGCAAGCACAUGAGAUGAUUGGAUAACGUUCCCGAAUCUAUAUCGAGUACUCCUUGCAUUAAAAAUAUCUGACAUUUUCAAAUUCAACAUUAAUCUGAUAUUUGCAAGACUGGACAUCAUUAGAGAAAAAUAUUAGAACCCCGACAAUAGCAGUGAGAUUCAUAGCAUCAGCUAAUCUCACAAAUGUUGGUGAUAAGUAACUAUUUUGCUCAUGUUUAGCUUCUCGAACUAAUCAUUCUGCCUUGAUUCAUUUAUUGCUUAAUUUUCAUGAUCAAAAGAAAGGAAAUAUCAUGAAAGUAACACAUCAACCUGCACGGCAGAAAUUAAACAGAUUCUAGGCAAACUAAACAUUUCAUUUAUUACAAAGAUGUUGUAAAAGAAGAGAAAGAGGUAAACCCACUACACUUUCAAAAAGGUAGGCACCAUUAUUUAGCUGCCACUACACCGUUAGCUGGCCAAGACAAAGAUCAACCCAGUCGUUGCUACGGCUAUGUUUAUCUUUCUUGUUAGUUAGGUACAAGACGAAAAGACGGAAGUGUAUGCACUAUAAAGAAUACAGAAUGCAUCUGUGUCAACUACUCAACCUACCUGUAGCACAUAUGCUUCCCAUGAACAGUUGAUUCCAGUUUUUCCAUUCAGACAUCCAGUUACUUGCCAAUCAAAUGCGAAACAAAUUGUAUUAUAUGUUUGGCAUCAGAAUUUUUUUUAACAUUUAGCAUUUAGCUCAUAUUAUCUAAAAAAGAUUUACCCUACGUUUGCCAGCAAGUUUUUUUUUUAAGUUCUCAGAGCGUACUGCGUUAUUUUUAAAUAUUUAGGCUCAUAAUAUACUUGUUGAACCAAUAUGUUUGGCAACAGAUUUUUUUUUAACAUUUAGGCUCAUAAUAUACUCGUUGAACCAAUCUGUUUGGCAGCAAGGUUUUUUUAAAGUUUUCAGAGCAUACUGCUAAAAACAAAUUCACUGGUCAAAACUUUAAAGUUUUCAGCAAGUUUUUUAAACACAUGUCCGUCCAUGAAAAAACCAUAUUAGCAGGAGAACAUAUUAGCAUACCCUUAGCUCAUUUAGCACAAAAAGUUGCACAACAGUUCAAAACAGUAGCACAAGAACACAGUAGCAUACAUUUAUAUCAAAGGGGGAUCACAUGCAGAAGCAGAGAAAGGCUCUUACCUUUUGCUGGAUGGAAGAAGAUAUUCCUGUGUUACCCCCUCAUCCGCUACUUCUUCUCAUUUGUUAAGCUUGUAAAUGAAAAACAAUUAACGUUAAAUGCAGGAGUAGUUUCAGAUAAAUUAACAUAUUCAUGUGUGCAAAUAAAUAAUGGAAUAACGCACCUCCCUCAUCUCUCAAAACAUCUCUAUAGACAAUGUUCUUGGUGAUUUUCCCAGAUUUAUCAACCUCCUUGUUUGGCUUGUCCAAAAUCCGUGUCGUCUCCCUCGACACCCCCCUUGACAAUGCAACAUAUAGCUGACCAUGUGACAAUACUGGCUCGGGAAGGUAAAUACCGACGUUCGGGAUCGUUUGACCUUGCGCCUUGUUAAUUGUCAUUGCAAAACUCAGGCGGAUGGGGAACUGUUUUCUUUUAAGUUUGAAAGGAAGUGAGAUGUCCUCCGAGGGCGACAUAGGGAUCCUAGGUAUGAACACCCUCUUUCCAGCAUGCUGACCACCAACAAUCUCUGCGUCGAUUGCAUUAUCCUGGAAGGCUCUAAUCAUAAGCCGUGUUCAUUGCAUAGGCCAUUAUAUGGGUCGAGUUUCCGUAGCAGAAUGACCGGACAAUUGACCUUUAAUCUCAAUACAUGCGGGGGCAAGCCAUUUGGUGCGAUCGAGUUUAGAAAAUCAAUCGUGUAAUUAUUCUGCAUGUCAUCCUCGAUUGAGUCGAAACUAUGGUAUAGCUUUUCUUCGCCUGGAAACCUUGAGAUCAUCUUGUCAUUCAGGUCAUCGACAUGAUCGUUCUUGGUCGAAAGAAUAGCACGUAUGCUCAUGUACUCUCUCGAUUUAGCAUUGGCAUGCAAAGAUGGGAAGACAUCUUCGAUGAGCUUGUUCAUAGCUUUCUCAUCCUCGGUAUAGGCAAUCACAAUGUCGUUAGGGAGACGCACAUAGUCGUCACCAAUUGUCUCUUCUAUACCAUUGCCGAUCCUCAGGAGGUAUUCGGAGAACCAAGGAUCAGCAUGUGCCCGCAUAUUGCGCGUGAGGCGUAUCUUGCGGAUCUUCUCCCACGGAUAGGAUCUUAGAAGUGUAGCAUCUGUGAUUUGUGCUCUUGUCCCACGUGUCACAACAGGAAGGACCUGCCUGAAAUCCCCACCAAAGACUACAACCUUUCCCCCAAAUGGCAAAGGACAUCCCAUUAUAUCCUGAAGCGAUCUAUCAAGCGUCUCAACUGCUUGACGUUUUGUCAUAGCAACCUCGUCCCAAAUAAUCAAUGACGCCUGCUUAAGCAACUCCGUUGUACCACUCUGCUUAGUGAAACUACACAUGGUGUUGUCGAUGAGCUUGAUUGGAAUUUUGAACCUGGAGUGCGCAGUCCGUCCUCCGGGCAUUAUUGACGCCGCUAUCCCUGAUGUAGAAGUUGCGAUCGCUAUCUGGCCCAUCGAACGCACCUUCGCAAGCAAUGCCUUGUAUAAGUAUGUCUUUCCAGUGCCUCCUGGACCGUCAACAAAGAAUAUCUGGCUUUUUUUUUUCAUCACAUGAUCCAUUAUGUCAUUGUAACCAGCAAGCUGCUCAUUGUUCAAACUGCUAAAUAAAUCUAGGUGUUCUUUGUCCACGCUGAUUUCCCUCUCCUCUGUUACCCCUUUGUACUCACCGUCAUCAGAACCAUCGGUGUCAAGCAAAUCCGGAAGUCCAUAGCCUGCAAUAUCCUUCCCCAUGGAUUGCAACAUAUCCCUAAUAUCGCUGAGGACCAUCUGCUCAAGUGCUGCAUCAUUGGAUUGAUUACGACGGUAAUCAUCAGACAUCGAUGCUAGAUGUUUGUCCCAUAGAUGUCGGAUUUCUGUUACCUCACAAAACACCAGUAUAGUCGCAAAUAACCGUCUCAGGGCAGAAGGCAUCUGAAAUGUGGUUGCCUUCGUCAUGCAAUCAUCGAGAGUUCUAUCGUGCUCAAUCAGGCCUAAGUGCUCACAUGCCUCCCUGAAGGAACUGCAUGGAUUGCCAUUUACAGUUUUUAAAGCAUCGAAUGAAGUGGCACCUCGGGCAUGACUUAGGAGCACACGCAAGUAGUAUCUUUCUCCUUCAGCACGGUGUGCAUACACAAGUCUUCCAAUCUGUAAUCUCUUAGUUUUUCUGUUCUGCCACUUUUUUUCCAGGUAUCCAUCUGUAAUGUUCUGGAAACUCUCUGUACAAUAAGUUCCGUGCUACUGGAAACUUCCGGUUCAUCUCAAAGUAUUCUGUAAGCAUGGACUUGGAAGAAGACGGUCGUGCUACAACAUCUUCCAGAUUUUCACAAGCUUUAAAUGCAACUGUAUGCAUAUUUGGCAAAUGAAGGUGGAGUUGUAGCACAGAUGGACUGACACCAAACAGUUUAAAAUGAAAAUUCCUGUAUAUAGCCUCUGGAGGAGAUACAUAGCAUGCAUCCCUAUAUUGCCGGAUUUCAUUGAUGAUUCCACCAUCAUUGAUGAUAUCUUGCUCGCAUGCAAAGGAUGUACGAUCAUGCCCUUUAUAGAUGUACGUGAACAAGUACUUGACUGCCUUGAUGCUGGAGCAUGCUUCUACAUUAAUGUGGCAGUUGUAUCGCAUAAGCAGAGAAGGGUUGUAAGGGACCACCCACCUAUUUUCCAAAUCUGCUCCUCGGAUCCUAAUCCGCUGCCCAUCGUCCCUCCUCGUGUAGAUGGGAUAUGAGUCUUUCCCUUGCUAUGUGGCAUCGCAAAAAUCUCGGGGGUAAUGGAACCGACACUGUCCAUCAAUCAUGCAUGGGCAACUUUUUUUCAACUCACCACAUGGUCCGUGCAACAUGUGUUUGACGACCAGAUCAUGUAGAAUGGGGUGUUUCUGUUUGUCAGGUAUCUCUGCACAUAUCACCCGAUCAUAGUCAUCUGGAGUCGCUAACUUGCUUUUUGCUUUCAUGAUUAGAAGUACAUGGUCAUGCGGGAGACCUCGCUUUUGAAACUCGGUGACAUGUACAUAGGC
This 8946-nucleotide long non-coding RNA is filed under the name Hordeum vulgare. Its description in RNAcentral is "long non-coding RNA (HVUL_LNC021533)". Lineage: Eukaryota; Viridiplantae; Streptophyta; Magnoliopsida; Poales; Poaceae. The record is from RNAcentral.